ACUCAAAUGAAUUGACGGGGGCCCGCACAAGCGGUGGAGCAUGUGGUUUAAUUCGACGCAACGCGAAGAACCUUACCUGGGCUCGAACGGCUUCUGAAUACUUUUGGAAACAGAGGUAGUCCCGCAAGGGACAGGAGUCGAGGUGCUGCAUGGCUGUCGUCAGCUCGUGUCGUGAGAUGUUGGGUUAAGUCCCGCAACGAGCGCAACCCUUGUCCUGUGUUGCAACCCCGCAAGGGGGCACUCUCAGGAGACCGCCAGCGAUAAGUUGGAGGAAGGUGGGGAUGACGUCAAGUCAUCAUGGCCUUUAUGUCCAGGGCUACACACGUGCUACAAUGGACGGUACAAAGCGCAGCGAACUCGCGAGAGGGAGCAAAUCGCAAAAAACCGUUCUCAGUUCGGAUUGCAGGCUGCAACCCGCCUGCAUGAAGCUGGAAUCGCUAGUAAUGGCAUAUCAGAACGAUGCCGUGAAUACGUUCCCGGGCCUUGCACACACCGCCCGU
RNAcentral lists this ribosomal RNA (500 nucleotides) under uncultured bacterium. Its description in RNAcentral is "partial 16S ribosomal RNA". It matches the Rfam family "Bacterial small subunit ribosomal RNA", at positions 899 to 1397 of the family's 1533-position model. The record is from RNAcentral.